CCUACGGGUGGCUGCAGUGAGGAAUAUUGGUCAAUGGACGAGAGUCUGAACCAGCCAAGUAGCGUGAAGGAUGACUGCCCGAGGGGGUGAAAACUUCUGUUAUAGGGGAAAAAAAUGUGCCACGGGGGGGAUUUUGUAUGUACCAUAGGAAUAAGGAUCGGCUAACUCCGUGCCAGCAGCCGCGGUAAGACGGAGGAUCCGAGCGUUAUCCGGAUUAAUGGGGUUUAAAGGGAGCGUAGGUGGCUUGUUAAGUCAGUUGUGAAAGUUUGCGGCUCAACCGUAAAAUUGCUGUUGAAACUGGCAGUCUUGAGUACAGUAGAGGUGGGCGGAAUUCGUGGUGUAGCGGUGACAUGCUUAGCUCUCACG
Molecule: ribosomal RNA, 366 nt
Filed under: uncultured bacterium
Lineage: Bacteria
Description: partial 16S ribosomal RNA
Rfam family: Bacterial small subunit ribosomal RNA
Source: RNAcentral